Molecule: ribosomal RNA, 332 nt
Filed under: uncultured bacterium
Lineage: Bacteria
Description: bacterial SSU rRNA
Rfam family: Bacterial small subunit ribosomal RNA
Source: RNAcentral
CGUGCAGGCGGUCGAGUAAGUCAGAUGUGAAAGCCUUUCGCUUAACGAGAGAAGUGCAUUUGAAACUGCUCGGCUAGAGUACGGGAGAGGAGAGUGGAAUUCCCGGUGUAGAGGUGAAAUUCGUAGAUAUCGGGAGGAACACCAGUGGCGAAGGCGGCUCUCUGGUCCGAUACUGACGCUGAGACGCGAAAGCGUGGGGAGCAAACAGGAUUAGAUACCCUGGUAGUCCACGCCGUAAACGAUGGGCACUAGGUGUAGGAGGUAUUGACCCCUUCUGUGCCGAAGCUAACGCAUUAAGUGCCCCGCCUGGGGAGUACGGCCGCAAGGCUAAA